UGUAAAUGUAGCUUAGUGGUAGAAUACUUGGCCUAUCAUGUAUGAGGCCUUGGGUUCAAUCCGCAACAUUGCAA
This 74-nucleotide transfer RNA is filed under the name Marmota monax (woodchuck). RNAcentral's name for it is "tRNA.Asp". Lineage: Eukaryota; Metazoa; Chordata; Mammalia; Rodentia; Sciuridae. The record is from RNAcentral.